Molecule: non-coding RNA, 119 nt
Filed under: Rhodococcus sp. (in: high G+C Gram-positive bacteria)
Lineage: Bacteria; Bacillati; Actinomycetota; Actinomycetes; Mycobacteriales; Nocardiaceae
Description: Rhodococcus sp. SAM-IV sequence
Rfam family: SAM (S-adenosyl methionine) riboswitch aptamer
About the family: SAM-IV is a mRNA element that regulates gene expression via direct sensing of S-adenosylmethionine (SAM or AdoMet). SAM-IV riboswitches share conserved nucleotide positions with the previously described SAM-I riboswitches sequence analysis and molecular recognition experiments suggest that SAM-I and SAM-IV riboswitches share similar ligand binding sites, but have different scaffolds.
Source: RNAcentral
GUUCAUGAGUGGCAGUUGUCGGUACCUGGCCGGCUGUCCGGCAACCCCGUCUCCAUCGACAGGGUGCCCCAGGGGAAGAACCGGCGCGUCCCGCAAUCGCAGGCGCGCAAGUCGAUGGA